Molecule: long non-coding RNA, 1056 nt
Filed under: Ictidomys tridecemlineatus (thirteen-lined ground squirrel)
Lineage: Eukaryota; Metazoa; Chordata; Mammalia; Rodentia; Sciuridae
Description: lncRNA (ENSSTOG00000029614.1)
Source: RNAcentral
GACCUGGGGUGGUUUCCCGGCAGCCCCUGGCGCGCUCUGCCCCCAUCCUCCUUGGAGGGGCUGCUGUAGGGUGUGUGUGCCUGAGCCACUCGGACCACACUGCACGCCCUACUCUGCGUCUGCGGCUUGCAUUGGCCGAAGCUCUUGGAGACUGUUGCACACACAGCUGCCUCGGGUUUGAGAAACACAGCUGCAUGAUACCGUCUUGAUGUACCGUGUCGUGUUGGGCCAGCUCACUGGGCACACAGGAGCUGUCUCAGCUUUUCCCUGGGCAGGGUGAACAUUCACGUUUUCACGUGGCCUUCCUUUGUGAGACUGGGCUGCGCUUCCUUUCUGUGCUCACGGGCUUUUUACAUCACUCUUCUGCGAUCCUCACGAAGUGGGGAAUUCCACUUUCUCACCACCUGUGCAGCUGUGAUGGUGUCCUUAAGGGUGUGCCGGGCUCACCUGUGAAGCCACCUGGGCCUGGAGCCUUCAUAGCCCUGUUGUUGUGCCAGCGUCCCAGCCCUGGAUACCUCUGCCAAGAUCAGCAGACGGCAGCCCCACCCACACACAGGCACCAAGGGGGUGCAUUGUCUAUGAAGAAUUAAGAAUGACAGCACAGCCAGCCACUGAUACCCUGUGCUGUCAACCGUGAACAGUCAGGGAAAGAAUACACGGUUCUCUGAGAGGACCUACCCUGGGUCACCGCUGGGGCAUCCCAGGGCACACCUUCCCCAGCAAGCCAGCACAGCCCAGCCAGUUUCACGGCCGGAGGGCAUGCCGUCACAGACCCAGGACGCUCUCAAUGAACCCCCUGGUGAGAAGAUGGGAGCAAAGGCUUCUUCAGGUCAGUUCUGCAGCAUUAUGAAAAUAUUAGGGAAAAUUCCAAAGAAACCCCAGGCUUAAGGAAAUUAAGCAAGGCAGUUCCUCAAAAUUUAAAUAUAGAACUACCACAUGGUCCAGCCCUCCACUCCUGUACCCAGAGCCGAAAGUCAGGUCUUGAAGGGAUGCAGGUGCACCCAUCCCACAGGUGGCACACGAGGCAGCCACACAGGUGCCAUCGACCGAGGAGUG